RNAcentral lists this ribosomal RNA (358 nucleotides) under Ehrlichia ewingii. Its description in RNAcentral is "bacterial SSU rRNA". It matches the Rfam family "Bacterial small subunit ribosomal RNA", at positions 91 to 484 of the family's 1533-position model. Lineage: Bacteria; Pseudomonadati; Pseudomonadota; Alphaproteobacteria; Rickettsiales; Anaplasmataceae. The record is from RNAcentral.
GUUAGUGGCAGACGGGUGAGUAAUGCGUAGGAAUCUACCUAGUAGUAUGGAAUAGCCAUUAGAAAUGAUGGGUAAUACUGUAUAAUCCCUGCGGGGGAAAGAUUUAUCGCUAUUAGAUGAGCCUACGUUAGAUUAGCUAGUUGGUAAGGUAAUGGCUUACCAAGGCUAUGAUCUAUAGCUGGUCUGAGAGGACGAUCAGCCACACUGGAACUGAGAUACGGUCCAGACUCCUACGGGAGGCAGCAGUGGGGAAUAUUGGACAAUGGGCGAAAGCCUGAUCCAGCUAUGCCGCGUGAGUGAAGAAGGCCUUCGGGUUGUAAAACUCUUUCAAUAGGGAAGAUAAUGACGGUACCUAUAA